Long non-coding RNA from Amphiprion ocellaris (clown anemonefish), 848 nucleotides. The record is from Ensembl. NCBI's taxonomy places the organism in Eukaryota, Metazoa, Chordata, Actinopteri, Pomacentridae.
CGGCGCUGGUUCCCCUUCAGUAGCGUGUUGGGGAAGCACACUGGAUAGUUGCUACAGUCCUCGCCUACCGCGGGAGUAGGAGCCGUUUGGCCGCGGUAUAUGUCGGGAUUGUCAAAGGAAUUGGCCAGGUCCCCUUGCAUCCUGUUGGGGUAAUCCCCAGAUGGGGAGCUAAGUUACCUGGAGUCCCAGAACCUCGGUCUACACCUUCUGCUGGUACUGGUAGGAGGCUGUGGCAGCCUUUAUCCACCCCCACGUUUACUCACACCCACUCACUCACUCGCACACUCAAGGCCUGAGGCCUAUGGCCUAUGGACAUUGGCCAACUUGUGUGUGGGACCUUCAAGGACUCUUUGAAUUAUACCCGGUCAGAAUGAACUGAACAACCUGUCUGGACCGAACUGUGCAGUCCUAAAUCCAUCCAUGCGUGUGACUAGAUCCCAAACUGGUUUCCCCAUCGUGGACUGAGCUGUUUUUUGUUUUUGAUUAUUAUUUUGUAAAUACUCCACUCAAGUGCACUUAAACAAUAUCUCUGCAGAUUGUAAAUAUUUGGGUUUUCUCUUUCUGGUUAUAAUUUAUGGUUAUAUUUUGUAUGUCAAAAUUCACUUUAAUAUAUGGUACUAACACCAACUUUGAAUUCCUGUCUUGUUGUGUUUUAUUAUUGCACUAUCACCUCCGAGAGCCGAGCCAGAUCUUUUGAACUAGCCUACCUUUAAAUCCUAAAUCCUAAAAUAUUGAAAUAAAUAUUUGGGCCACAUGUACAUGUUACAGUAGCCUUGUGUUACCUGCAGAAAGUGGUGCACUUAGCAAAUAAAGAACAAGAUUUUUUUUUCUUCGAAGUCUGUGGAGAC